RNAcentral lists this unclassified non-coding RNA (418 nucleotides) under uncultured Inocybe. Its description in RNAcentral is "sequence contains ITS2". The stretch from base 1 to 154 matches the Rfam family "5.8S ribosomal RNA". Lineage: Eukaryota; Fungi; Basidiomycota; Agaricomycetes; Agaricales; Cortinariaceae. The record is from RNAcentral.
AACUUUUGACUACGGAUCUCUUGGCUCUCGCAUCGAUGAAGAACGCAGCGAAAUGCGAUAAGUAAUGUGAAUUGCAGAAUUCAGUGAAUCAUCGAAUCUUUGAACGCAUCUUGCGCUCCUUGGUAUUCCGAGGAGCAUGCCUGUUUGAGUGUCAUUCAACUUCUCAACCACAUUCGUUCAUUGAUUGUGGCUUGGAUGGUGGGGGUUUAUUUGCAGGCUUCUUCUGUGAAAACAGAAAGGUCGGCUCCCCUGAAAUGUAUCAGUGGUAUCUGAGGCUAUUGCUAUAGGUGUGAUAAUUAUCUAUGCCCUUGGUAUGCCGCAUGGAACUGCUUCCAACAGAGAUGAUCUUUUUGAUGAAUUUGACCUCAAAUCAGGUAGGACUACCCGCUGAACUUAAGCAUAUCAAUAAGCGGAGGCU